AGAACUAACAGGAUUCCCCUAGUAACUGCGAGUGAAGCGGGAAGAGCUCAAAUUUAAAAUCUGGCGGUCUUGCGGCCGUCCGAGUUGUAAUCUAGAGAAGCGUUUUCCGUGCUGGAAACCGUGUCCAAGUCUCUUGGAAUGGAGCGUCGUAGAGGGUGACAAUCCCGUCCUUGACACGGAUUUCUGGUGCAUUUGUGAUGCGCUCUCAAAGAGUCGAGUUGUUUGGGAAUGCAGCUCAAAAAGGGUGGUAAAUUCCAUCUAAAGCUAAAUAUGGGCGAGAGACCGAUAGCGAACAAGUACCGUGAGGGAAAGAUGAAAAGAACUUUGAAAAGAGAGUUAAACAGUACGUGAAAUUGUUGAAAGGGAAACGAUUCAAGUCAGCCGCGUUGGUCGGAAAUCAACCUUGCACUUGUGCGAGGCUCACUUUCUGGUUGAUGGGUCAGCAUCAAUUUUGACUGUCGGAUAAAGGCCAUGGGGAAUGUGGCAUCUUUGGAUGUGUUAUAGCCCCUUGUCGCAUGCGAUGGUUGGGAUUGAGGAACGCAGCACGCCACUAUGGUCGGAACCUUUUGGUUCACGCAACGUGCUUGGGAUGCUGGCAUAAUGGCUUGAACCGACCCGUCUUGAAACACGGACCAAGGAGUCCAACAUGCCUGCGAGUGUUUGGGUGGAAAACCCGAGCGCGAAGUGAAAGUAAAAUGUCGAGAUCCCUGUCAUGGGGA
RNAcentral lists this ribosomal RNA (719 nucleotides) under Hygrocybe sparifolia. RNAcentral's name for it is "partial 28S ribosomal RNA". It matches the Rfam family "Eukaryotic large subunit ribosomal RNA", at positions 56 to 755 of the family's 3401-position model. Lineage: Eukaryota; Fungi; Basidiomycota; Agaricomycetes; Agaricales; Hygrophoraceae. The record is from RNAcentral.